This 74-nucleotide transfer RNA is filed under the name Laceyella putida. Its description in RNAcentral is "tRNA-Met". It matches the Rfam family "tRNA". From Rfam's summary of the family: Transfer RNA (tRNA) molecules are approximately 80 nucleotides in length. Their secondary structure includes four short double-helical elements and three loops (D, anti-codon, and T loops). Further hydrogen bonds mediate the characteristic L-shaped molecular structure. tRNAs have two regions of fundamental functional importance: the anti-codon, which is responsible for specific mRNA codon recognition, and the 3' end, to which the tRNAs corresponding amino acid is attached (by aminoacyl-tRNA synthetases). tRNAs cope with the degeneracy of the genetic code in two manners: having more than one tRNA (with a specific anti-codon) for a particular amino acid; and 'wobble' base-pairing, i.e. permitting non-standard base-pairing at the 3rd anti-codon position. RNAcentral also lists the same sequence under 2 other names. Lineage: Bacteria; Bacillati; Bacillota; Bacilli; Caryophanales; Thermoactinomycetaceae. The record is from RNAcentral.
GGCGGCGUAGCUCAGUUGGCUAGAGCGUACGGUUCAUACCCGUAAGGUCGGGGGUUCGAGGCCCUCCGCCGCUA